RNAcentral lists this ribosomal RNA (424 nucleotides) under uncultured bacterium. RNAcentral's name for it is "partial 16S ribosomal RNA". It matches the Rfam family "Bacterial small subunit ribosomal RNA", at positions 360 to 776 of the family's 1533-position model. The record is from RNAcentral.
AAUUCUGGACAAUGGGCGCAAGCCUGACCCAGCAAUGCCGCGUGCAGGAUGAAGGCCUUCGGGUUGUAAACUGCUUUUGUACGGAACGAAAAGCUCUGGGUUAAUACCCUGGGGUCAUGACGGUACCGUAAGACAAAGCACCGGCUAACUACUUGCCAGCAGCCGCGGUAAUACGGAGGGUGCAAGCGUUAAUCGGAAUUACUGGGCGUAAAGCGUGCGCAGGCGGUUUUGUAAGACAGAGGUGAAAACCCCAGGCUCAACCUGGGAACUGCCUUUGUGACUGCAAGGCUAGAGUACGGCAGAGGGGGAUGGAAUUCCGCGUGUAGCAGUGAAAUGCGUAGAUAUGCGGAGGAACACCGAUGGCGAAGGCAAUCCCCUGGGCCUGUACUGACGCUCAUGCACGAAAGCGUGGGGAGCAAACAGG